GACGAACGCUGGCGGCGUGCUUAACACAUGCAAGUCGAACGGAAAGGCCCUGCUUUUGUGGGGUGCUCGAGUGGCGAACGGGUGAGUGACACGUGAGUAACCUGCCCUUGACUUUGGGAUAACUUCAGGAAACUGGGGCUAAUACCGGAUAGGAGCUCCUGCUGCACGGUGGGGGUUGGAAAGUUUCGGCGGUUGGGGAUGGACUCGCGGCUUAUCAGCUUGUUGGUGGGGUAGUGGCUUACCAAGGCUUUGACGGGUAGCCGGCCUGAGAGGGUGACCGGCCACAUUGGGACUGCGAUACGGCCCAGACUCCUACGGGAGGCAGCGGUGGGGAAUAUUGCACAAUGGGCGGAAGCCUGAUGCGGCAGCGCCGCGUGCGGGAUGACGGCCUUCGGGUUGUAAACCGCUUUCGCCUGUGACGAAGCGUGAGUGACGGUAAUGGGUAAAGAAGCACCGGCUAACUACGUG
Molecule: ribosomal RNA, 468 nt
Filed under: uncultured bacterium
Lineage: Bacteria
Description: partial 16S ribosomal RNA
Rfam family: Bacterial small subunit ribosomal RNA
Source: RNAcentral